ACUAUUUUGGCAGAUUAUAUGCGUUAGACUUAGGAUCUAAUAAUAUAGAAUUACUUCUAUAAUUAGUA
This 68-nucleotide transfer RNA is filed under the name Eucrate crenata. RNAcentral describes it as "tRNA-Leu". The record is from RNAcentral. Lineage: Eukaryota; Metazoa; Arthropoda; Malacostraca; Decapoda; Goneplacidae.